AAUAGGAGGGUCAAUAAAUGACAAUAAACAGAGGCUCACAAGGUGUUAAUAUCUGUUUUUCCAUUUUUAUCCACUAGAUGGCAGUCUCUAAGCACUAUGACACUAUUUUCUUUUCCACCUACUGUAUAUCCUUUCAACAAAGCUGUUACAUACUGUAUGUAGCCUCCACAACUAACAAACACAGCAAGAAAAGGAAAGACAGCUUAUUUAUAUAGCACAUUUCACACUUGGCUUUCAACAUUAACAUUAACAGGGACUUUUUCUAUGAAUGAUGAAGGAAGUCAAAUAUGUUUAAAAAUGUGUUUUAUUAUAAUAAUUAUUAUUAUUUUAGGUGUAUAGGCAUGCUGCCACAAUACAAGAGAUGUUUUGAGAAAACUGACAGUGAGCUGACAAUAAGUAAUUUAAAAAUCCUUAGUAACAUCCACCCAACUUUUAGCCCUAGGUUUGACAUUUUUUCUUUGGAUUAUUAUGGUGACACAGUGUUUUAAAGGCCCAGGUAGGCACUUUUUUCAGGAAAGAGAACACUACUCAGCAGAUUUUCAUGUAUAACACACAGAGAAAAGUUAAGCAGGCAGUAGCUGGAGUAAUUUCCUUAUUUUCAGCCAUGUGUGCAAAGUUUAGAUGUUGUUAACUACAGGGAACCAUCAUUGUAGAUUAUGAAUUUAGCAUUUUUGUGAAGUACAACUUGGGAUGAAAUAGCAUUGAUAGUGGGGGAUCUUAUGAUUCUGUGUCUGACAUGUAAACAAUAGCACUAACAUGCCAGUAUACACAUACACCUGCAACAAAACCUUAACAUCCUCUUUAUGUAACUGUGAAAAACACAUUCACACAUACAUAGAUUCACAAAA
Sphaeramia orbicularis (orbiculate cardinalfish) is the source of this 848-nucleotide long non-coding RNA. RefSeq lists it as uncharacterized. NCBI's taxonomy places the organism in Eukaryota, Metazoa, Chordata, Actinopteri, Kurtiformes, Apogonidae. The transcript is spliced from 2 exons. The record is from RefSeq and is a predicted model, not a curated record.